RNAcentral lists this ribosomal RNA (492 nucleotides) under uncultured bacterium. RNAcentral's name for it is "partial 16S ribosomal RNA". It matches the Rfam family "Bacterial small subunit ribosomal RNA", at positions 29 to 507 of the family's 1533-position model. The record is from RNAcentral.
AGUGAACGCUGGCGGUAGGCCUAACACAUGCAAGUCGAACGGCAGCACAGUAAGAGCUUGCUCUUACGGGUGGCGAGUGGCGGACGGGGGAGGAAUACAUCGGAAUCUACUUUUUCGUGGGGGAUAACGUAGGGAAACUUACGCUAAUACCGCAUACGACCUACGGGUGAAAGCAGGGGAUCUUCGGACCUUGCGCGAUUGAAUGAGCCGAUGUCGGAUUAGCUAGUUGGCGGGGUAAAGGCCCACCAAGGCGACGAUCCGUAGCUGGUCUGAGAGGAUGAUCAGCCACACUGGAACUGAGACACGGUCCAGACUCCUACGGGAGGCAGCAGUGGGGAAUAUUGGACAAUGGGCGCAAGCCUGAUCCAGCCAUACCGCGUGGGUGAAGAAGGCCUUCGGGUUGUAAAGCCCUUUUGUUGGGAAAGAAAAGCAGCAGGUUAAUACCCCGCUGUUCUGACGUUACCCAAAGAAUAAGCACCGGCUAACUUCGUG